Non-coding RNA from Dermatophagoides farinae (American house dust mite), 348 nucleotides. Lineage: Eukaryota; Metazoa; Arthropoda; Arachnida; Sarcoptiformes; Pyroglyphidae. The record is from RefSeq and is a predicted model, not a curated record.
GAUUAGGCUUAGGAACAUGGUCUGAUUAUUUCCUAUUGAAUUUGAUGCUGAUUUAAUCUUUUGAAUCAAUGAAGCGAUCGAAAACAUGAUUAUAAGUCGAAGAUUCAUGGGAUGGAACACAUAUAUGAAAAUGAUCAUGGAUCGCCGGCGAACAAUUGGGAAAUUGAAUCUCGAACCACGGAUAGAAUUUGGACAUUGUCUUGGAACAUGGACCGCGAUUAUGGAUUUAUUUAUGUCAAACGGGACAAUUAACGUUUUAUGGCGCAAUUUGGAUGUGAAAUAUGCAUGUAUUUUAUUAUUUAAAAUUUUUAAUAAAUUAAUAUUUCAAUAAAAUCAAUUAAAUUUCAA